This 254-nucleotide ribosomal RNA is filed under the name uncultured bacterium. RNAcentral's name for it is "partial 16S ribosomal RNA". It matches the Rfam family "Bacterial small subunit ribosomal RNA", at positions 524 to 776 of the family's 1533-position model. The record is from RNAcentral.
CACGUAGGGUGCGAGCGUUGUCCGGAAUUAUUGGGCGUAAAGAGCUCGUAGGCGGUGUGUCGCGUCGGCCGUGAAAACCUGCAGCUUAACUGUGGGCUUGCGGUCGAUACGGGCAUCACUGGAGUUCGGCAGGGGAGACUGGAAUUCCUGGUGUAGCGGUGAAAUGCGCAGAUAUCGGGAAGAACACCCGUGGCGAAGGCGGCUCUCUGGGACGGUACUGACGCUGAGACGCGAAAGCGUGGGGAGCGAACAGG